RNAcentral lists this ribosomal RNA (2813 nucleotides) under Escherichia coli. Its description in RNAcentral is "partial 23S ribosomal RNA". It matches the Rfam family "Bacterial large subunit ribosomal RNA". The record is from RNAcentral. Lineage: Bacteria; Pseudomonadati; Pseudomonadota; Gammaproteobacteria; Enterobacterales; Enterobacteriaceae.
UAAGCGUACACGGUGGAUGCCCUGGCAGUCAGAGGCGAUGAAGGACGUGCUAAUCUGCGAUAAGCGUCGGUAAGGUGAUAUGAACCGUUAUAACCGGCGAUUUCCGAAUGGGGAAACCCAGUGUGUUUCGACACACUAUCAUUAACUGAAUCCAUAGGUUAAUGAGGCGAACCGGGGGAACUGAAACAUCUAAGUACCCCGAGGAAAAGAAAUCAACCGAGAUUCCCCCAGUAGCGGCGAGCGAACGGGGAGGAGCCCAGAGCCUGAAUCAGUGUGUGUGUUAGUGGAAGCGUCUGGAAAGGCGCGCGAUACAGGGUGACAGCCCCGUACACAAAAAUGCACAUGCUGUGAGCUCGAUGAGUAGGGCGGGACACGUGGUAUCCUGUCUGAAUAUGGGGGGACCAUCCUCCAAGGCUAAAUACUCCUGACUGACCGAUAGUGAACCAGUACCGUGAGGGAAAGGCGAAAAGAACCCCGGCGAGGGGAGUGAAAAAGAACCUGAAACCGUGUACGUACAAGCAGUGGGAGCACAGAGCAAUCUGUGUGACUGCGUACCUUUUGUAUAAUGGGUCAGCGACUUAUAUUCUGUAGCAAGGUUAACCGAAUAGGGGAGCCGAAGGGAAACCGAGUCUUAACUGGGCGUUAAGUUGCAGGGUAUAGACCCGAAACCCGGUGAUCUAGCCAUGGGCAGGUUGAAGGUUGGGUAACACUAACUGGAGGACCGAACCGACUAAUGUUGAAAAAUUAGCGGAUGACUUGUGGCUGGGGGUGAAAGGCCAAUCAAACCGGGAGAUAGCUGGUUCUCCCCGAAAGCUAUUUAGGUAGCGCCUCGUGAAUUCAUCUCCGGGGGUAGAGCACUGUUUCGGCAAGGGGGUCAUCCCGACUUACCAACCCGAUGCAAACUGCGAAUACCGGAGAAUGUUAUCACGGGAGACACACGGCGGGUGCUAACGUCCGUCGUGAAGAGGGAAACAACCCAGACCGCCAGCUAAGGUCCCAAAGUCAUGGUUAAGUGGGAAACGAUGUGGGAAGGCCCAGACAGCCAGGAUGUUGGCUUAGAAGCAGCCAUCAUUUAAAGAAAGCGUAAUAGCUCACUGGUCGAGUCGGCCUGCGCGGAAGAUGUAACGGGGCUAAACCAUGCACCGAAGCUGCGGCAGCGACGCUGAUGCGUUGUUGGGUAGGGGAGCGUUCUGUAAGCCUGUGAAGGUGUGCUGUGAGGCAUGCUGGAGGUAUCAGAAGUGCGAAUGCUGACAUAAGUAACGAUAAAGCGGGUGAAAAGCCCGCUCGCCGGAAGACCAAGGGUUCCUGUCCAACGUUAAUCGGGGCAGGGUGAGUCGACCCCUAAGGCGAGGCCGAAAGGCGUAGUCGAUGGGAAACAGGUUAAUAUUCCUGUACUUGGUGUUACUGCGAAGGGGGGACGGAGAAGGCUAUGUUGGCCGGGCGACGGUUGUCCCGGUUUAAGCGUGUAGGCUGGUUUUCCAGGCAAAUCCGGAAAACUAAGGCUGAGGCGUGAUGACGAGGCACUACGGUGCUGAAGCAACAAAUGCCCUGCUUCCAGGAAAAGCCUCUAAGCAUCAGGUAACAUCAAAUCGUACCCCAAACCGACACAGGUGGUCAGGUAGAGAAUACCAAGGCGCUUGAGAGAACUCGGGUGAAGGAACUAGGCAAAAUGGUGCCGUAACUUCGGGAGAAGGCACGCUGAUAUGUAGGUGAAGUCCCUCGCGGAUGGAGCUGAAAUCAGUCGAAGAUACCAGCUGGCUGCAACUGUUUAUUAAAAACACAGCACUGUGCAAACACGAAAGUGGACGUAUACGGUGUGACGCCUGCCCGGUGCCGGAAGGUUAAUUGAUGGGGUCAGCGCAAGCGAAGCUCUUGAUCGAAGCCCCGGUAAACGGCGGCCGUAACUAUAACGGUCCUAAGGUAGCGAAAUUCCUUGUCGGGUAAGUUCCGACCUGCACGAAUGGCGUAAUGAUGGCCAGGCUGUCUCCACCCGAGACUCAGUGAAAUUGAACUCGCUGUGAAGAUGCAGUGUACCCGCGGCAAGACGGAAAGACCCCGUGAACCUUUACUAUAGCUUGACACUGAACAUUGAGCCUUGAUGUGUAGGAUAGGUGGGAGGCUUUGAAGUGUGGACGCCAGUCUGCAUGGAGCCGACCUUGAAAUACCACCCUUUAAUGUUUGAUGUUCUAACGUUGACCCGUAAUCCGGGUUGCGGACAGUGUCUGGUGGGUAGUUUGACUGGGGCGGUCUCCUCCUAAAGAGUAACGGAGGAGCACGAAGGUUGGCUAAUCCUGGUCGGACAUCAGGAGGUUAGUGCAAUGGCAUAAGCCAGCUUGACUGCGAGCGUGACGGCGCGAGCAGGUGCGAAAGCAGGUCAUAGUGAUCCGGUGGUUCUGAAUGGAAGGGCCAUCGCUCAACGGAUAAAAGGUACUCCGGGGAUAACAGGCUGAUACCGCCCAAGAGUUCAUAUCGACGGCGGUGUUUGGCACCUCGAUGUCGGCUCAUCACAUCCUGGGGCUGAAGUAGGUCCCAAGGGUAUGGCUGUUCGCCAUUUAAAGUGGUACGCGAGCUGGGUUUAGAACGUCGUGAGACAGUUCGGUCCCUAUCUGCCGUGGGCGCUGGAGAACUGAGGGGGGCUGCUCCUAGUACGAGAGGACCGGAGUGGACGCAUCACUGGUGUUCGGGUUGUCAUGCCAAUGGCACUGCCCGGUAGCUAAAUGCGGAAGAGAUAAGUGCUGAAAGCAUCUAAGCACGAAACUUGCCCCGAGAUGAGUUCUCCCUGACUCCUUGAGAGUCCUGAAGGAACGUUGAAG